GCCAUAUAUCUAGGACGCGUGACCUCCUCUCCUUCUGCCCAUCCAUGGCGCUCGGCAACCAUCGCCCCUGCUCCUCUUCCUUGGAGGCCGGGCGGGGCUCCCUCCAUGGGCGAGCCUCCAACCUUCCCUGUGUACUCUCUCGAACCCAAGUGCAAGGUGCCCCCGCGUGCUCUAUGGCCGCACGCGCCUGGCCUUGCCAUCUGUGGAGCUCGGCAGCCGGAGCCGCGUAUCCGCCCCGGCUGUGGUCGACCGGCUUCGCUUCAUUAAUCUGGGUAAGUAACCCUCUUCAACGUUCACUCUUGUCCCUGCUACGCAUAGAGCUCGUUGCCUUAGGAACUCGUGCAUCAGAGGCUUGGAUUUGGGUGUGCGCCGUUGAUGCGCCACCGUGCGGGCUGACCGACGCCGCCGCCGUGCUCGGUUUUUGGCGGAGGAAGGAGGCGAUGGGUGGACCGUUGAUUCGGCUAUGGAUGGAUGUGAUCGUACUUCGCGUACCCCCUUCAUGUGUCAGAGUCUGACCGUUGGAUCUGAUCGGAUGUACGAGAUUCUCUCUCGGCUAUUUAAAUCCUGGGCGUUGGUCCCUGAUCGAACGGCACACAAUACGUACCGGUUCGUCGUAGCGGGCUUUUAAUCUGGGUCCUCGGUUCUGGAUCGGGCGGCUCAGAUUCCAUCUUACCCCUUUGCCGUGGUCAUUUUCUAAACGAGCCCCUCGGAUUUCGAUGAAUUAACCCGCCGUCCAAUUGCACUAUUCACUGAGUCUUAGGAAUUUUAUCCCCGAGCCCCCUGCGCUUCUGUUUAAUUAAGGCGCAGUCCAGUGGAUAGGAAAAUCAUAGAAAAUGAUUUAGAAAAUGAUUUUAGUGUUAAAAUAAAUCAGAAACUUAUUUAAUUCAUAACUAAUUCAUUUUAGCUCCUUUUUGACCCAUUCCAGUUGCAAUAAUUUUGUUUUAAUAUUAUUUACCACUUAGAGCCUCUGUUUUGUCAUGAAAACAAUUAGAAAUUUAAUCUCUCACUUAAUCCAUUUUAAACACAUAAAACCUUUGAAAAUUCAUAACUUAAAAUCUAUAACUCAAAAAUUAAUGAAUCAUGUUCCUAUGAUCUUAUUUUAAUAUGUAUAUUAUUAAUGUGUAUUUUGUUCUUAUGUUUGGUGUAAUGUUAAAUUUGCCUAUACCAUGUUUGUUUGAAUUGCUACGACUAGCAGUGAGAACACGAGUCACCUGAAGAUCAUCCUGGUACCUGGAUUCUCAAGUCCCAGGCAAGUUGUGCCCUUGAUCACUUCUUUUUACCCACUCAUGUUCUAAUUAAUCAUAAUGAUCUGCAUAGGUUUAACUUUGAUGGGACCCAAUAGGUCACCCUAGUUUGUUUAUCCUGAAUACCUUGUUUACCCCUGAAUCACUUGGGUAGUUCUGCUACUGCUUUAUAUGGUUUUGGGUUAAUAUUUCAUUAUAUCUAUGUUCCAAUUAUGUUGUUAUUUUAUUUAUGUUCAUGACAAGAUCAUUAAAUGUUAAUUGGAACAUAGAGCUUAACUUGAGAAACACGUGCCACCACAAGGGUUUAAUGGGACGCCCUUGGCUGACUAAUUAGGAAAGCUAGUGGAGGACUACCUUACCCGAAAGGGGCAAGGGCAGUAGGGAAGUGGUCAGUGUAGGGAGGCCCUCGGGAGGAUUUUGCUGCGAUGGCGGUCCUGCAAGGGAUUCCUGCAUUGGAGCUUCCUAUAAACUGUAGCGGGUUUUCUGAAGCUAGUGGAACUUUGUAAAGGCCUCGUAAUGUUACCCUGCCUCGCCUCCUCGGUAGAGGUGUAUGGGAAGUCGCGAUCCCUUGGCAGAUGGGUAACAUGACUUGUGGGUAAAGGGUACCACCUCUGCAGAGUGUAAAACUGGUAUACUAGCCGAGCUCACGGUCAUGAGCAGCUCAGGACUCUCUGAUGAUUAAAUUAUGGAACUUAAACUCAAUUUGUCAUAUGCAUUGCAUCGCAGGUGAGGUUGUUACUUUUGUUCUACUACUUAAUUGGGUUGGUAUUUACUUAUACUUAGUAAUUGCUAAUAAAAUUUUGACCAACUUUAAAAGCAAUGCUCAGCUCUAACCAUCCUCUUUGGUAAGCCUUACACUUCACGUGAGCUCCCACCUUUGGCGAGUUCAUGCACAUUGUUCCCCACAACUUGUUGAGCGAUGAACGUAUGUGAGCUCACUCUUGCUGUCUCACACCCCCCACAGGUCAAGAACAGGUACCACAGGAUGAGGCGCAUGGAGGAUGCUGUGGCGAGAUCGUGAGAGGUCUAGGUCGUCGUCUCCCAGUCAACUUCGGGUUGCUGGACCGUUGUCUCCAUAUAAUGUAAUUAUUUAUUUAUUUUGUACAAACUCCGAUUAUAUAGUAAAGAUGUGACAUUCGAUCCUGUGCCAUGAUUCAUCAUAUGUGUGAGACUUGGUCCCAGCACACCUGGUGAUUAUGUUUGUGCCCGGGUUUUGGACCCCUAAAAUCCGGGUGUGACAGAAGUGGUAUCAGAGGAAUGUUGACUGUAGGACGAAACCUAGAUAGAACUGGACAACCAUUGUCUACUUACCUUUGCCACUCUGAUUCUUUUCUAAACUUUUCUUAAUCAUUUCUCAUAUAUUUCCGCUUACUCUGAUUAUCUUACCUUUUUUUCUAAAGACAAAUGUGGAUUUCACACUUUGAAAUCAUGUGCCUAAAGUGACUUUUAGGAAUAGGACACCUAAUCUUAGGGACAAAAACAAAACUAUUUUUAUCUAUGUGCUUGAAUGUUUGUUAUUAUGAUACUUGUCUGAUUUGGAUCGUUGAUUGAGUGGGAUGAGUUGUGGAGUAGUGUCCACAAUUGCAUCUACAUAUACUUAGGCAUAUAUAUAACUAAUCAAACUUAGAUUGUCCCUCAUUAAAAAUGUAUCUAGCUUAAUAGAUCCACCUUAUCUUAAAAGAUCUAUCUCAUCUUAAUAGAUCCAUCUUAUCCCGAAAAGAUUCUAUCAUAUCCUAAUAGAUCUUACUAACCUCAAAAGAUUCCAUCUUAUCUUUAUGGAUCCAUCUUAUCCUAAUAAGCAUACUUAUCCACCCUAGUUUAACAACCAUGAUCUAAUGCAAAAUAAUUAGAUCUUAUCUAGUCAAGCUAGUCAUACCAAUCUAAUCUAGAUCCCAUCUAAUCUACUAUGAUCCAAUUUAAAGAGAGUGACCUAAGAAGUUAGUUAAUCCUGGUGAAAUACAUCAGACCCUGCUCCUAUAAACAAGUUUGAGAUCCUAGAUCAACUCGGCCAUACCCAACAACUUGACCUACAUAAUAGAUCUAUCUUAACCUCUUGUCCCAACCCCGGAUGGAGACACCAAAGAGCAAGAAGGAGGAGAUCAACCUCGACAUGGAAGAAUAGGAGUCAAAUCAGAUCUCGAGAUGAUUCAAAUUUACCACCUUGGACGGAGUCUUCCCUUACCAAGUUCUUCUUACCAUCAGCUAACCUCACUCUGACCAUCUCUCUUCUUACCUGUGUGUCUAAACAUAGAAGAUACCCAUGCAUUUCUAAGUACUUGCUAAAUAGUAUUUUAAAAAGAGAAAGAGAGAGACUCUUAAUUUUUGAAUCCAUUAGAAACUACAAUCUCAAUUAUAAACCAACCUCGGUAUAACCCUUCUGCUUACUAAUCUCGAGGACGAGAUUAUUUUUAAGGGGGGUAGGAUUUGUAAAGCCCAAAAUUUGCAUAAGACAAUAAAUAAAUAUAUAAAUAAAAUAGUAAGUUCAAAUAUCUCAACUUAUACUUGAGUAAUGAAUGUUGUGGACUGAAUUUUGAAACUGAGAAGUAAUUUAUAACAUAUAGAAAGGUUUCUAUUCAACUAAAUAAUUGUGCAUAUCAUUAAAUGAUGCACCAUAGGCAUUUAUUUAUAUGAAUAUCUAAUUUUGAAGUAACUUUUACUUCUCAUUCCACAUUCAAAGUACUAUUUUUCUAAAUGAGAAAGAAAACAAUUUAUGGAACCAUUUAUUCCUUUGGUAAAUAGAUGACAAGGAAAAGAAUAGAAAAAAAAUAUUGUAAACAAUAGAUUUUAUAUUAGGAAUUAUUGUGACACUUGAAAAGUUAAAGUUCAAAACAUGUUUGAAUUUAAACUGAAUUUGAAAAGAAAACAGAAAAGAUAAAAGAAAAAAAUAGAGAAACCGCGCCUGGGCCAAUUCUGCACAAUUCGGCCCACUCUCCCCUCCCCUCACCAGCCCGCCACUCGCCCUGCCACUGACAACGAUGCCCCACUGGCCGGCUCCUCACCGCGUGCGCUAGGUACUCUAAUCGCUGACUGACGAUUGGGCCCGCAUCGUCAGGCACUUCUUCUCCGCGGUCGGAAUCGUCCCUUUCCCCCGCGUUCGCAUGAACUAAACCCAGGAGUCCGCGUGGAUCAGUGGAUGUCGCUAGUCGUUCCAACAACCCGGCCGGAAAUCCCGCGCGUGCCUGAGCCAUCGGCGGUCUUCGCGUGAGUUCCACGGCCAACCAUAACCGGUUAUCGCGGAUCCCUGGGGCUCGAGGCCAUAUAUCUAGGACGCGUGACCUCCUCUCCUUCUGCCCAUCCAUGGCGCUCGGCAACCAUCGCCCCUGCUCCUCUUCCUUGGAGGCCGGGCGGGGCUCCCUCCAUGGGCGAGCCUCCAACCUUCCCUGUGUACUCUCUCGAACCCAAGUGCAAGGUGCCCCCGCGUGCUCUAUGGCCGCACGCGCCUGGCCUUGCCAUCUGUGGAGCUCGGCAGCCGGAGCCGCGUAUCCGCCCCGGCUGUGGUCGACCGGCUUCGCUUCAUUAAUCUGG
Molecule: long non-coding RNA, 4769 nt
Filed under: Zea mays
Lineage: Eukaryota; Viridiplantae; Streptophyta; Magnoliopsida; Poales; Poaceae
Description: long non-coding RNA (ZMAY_LNC004762)
Source: RNAcentral